RNAcentral lists this Piwi-interacting RNA (6252 nucleotides) under Cordylochernes scorpioides. The stretch from base 1957 to 2254 matches the Rfam family "Metazoan signal recognition particle RNA". Lineage: Eukaryota; Metazoa; Arthropoda; Arachnida; Pseudoscorpiones; Chernetidae. The record is from RNAcentral.
UUCCUUUGAACGUGUAAACAAGCGUAUUCAAAUAUUUUUGUUGAAAAAAAAAUCUCAAGAUUGUUAGCGGUGUCGAGUUCAAACAAGGGGAGUGGGGGCCCGGGAGGGUGGGGCAGGUGGCGGCAGGCCCAUGGGGGGUGGGGUGGAAUUAAUGGAAUCUUCUGGCAAAUUAAGGAAUGUCUUCUGACUUUCUUAUCUCUUUAAUUGUCCAACAUUUCCUUAUCAAUAGAUUUAAAUCUCCUGGACAUAAAUUAAACAAUUAAAAAGGUUUCUGGAGAUGUGUUUCUUCUUAUUUUAGUUAAGCAGUCUCAAGUUUAGCAUCAGGCGGUGUUUUAUUCGUUUUAUUCACGUUCUCCUGUAGACAAUUUUAUUGAUUCUUUCAAUCAAAUUUUACAAAGGUGGAAAAAUAAAAGAGUAAAAGGGCAUAUAAAGUGUAGGGGAAUAUAUAUACAAAUAUCUUCAGCAAGGAAGGUCUCCCCACCUUGAGAGAGUCCUCCUCCAGACAAGGUNNNNNNNNNNNNNNNNNNNNNNNNNNNNNNNNNNNNNNNNNNNNNNNNNNNNNNNNNNNNNNNNNNNNNNNNNNNNNNNNNNNNNNNNNNNNNNNNNNNNCAAUGAUACACACCUAUUUAUUUUGAAAAUAGAGCAAUCCAUAGAUAAAUCUUCAAUUAAAAAGACAUAUAUUGGAUCAAAAUAUCAUUUAUUUUACCAAUAUUUCAGUUGGCUGAACGCCAACCUUUAUCAAGUUAUUGUUAAUUUUCAAAAUAUUCACACCUAUAUUUUACAAAAUAUAUUUUGUCCAUAAUAUAAAUAUUAUAUAUCAAUUUUUUUCUCCCCAUUGAAUAUAACAAAAUAUUUUUAAAACUUAAAUGCUGUUGACGUUAUGUGGCGCUGAGUUUGUUGUUGACACACAUUAAUAUGUUAUAAUCUAUAUAUAUAAAAUUGAAUGUCUGUCUGUCUGUCUGUUUGUCUGUACUCUAUAGAUUCAAAAACCAUACAUCCAAUCGCCGUGAAAUUUUGGUAUAUUAUUAGGUAUAUCACCGGGAAGGUUUUUGAAAAAUAAUUUCAUGAAUAUCUUGAAUAUCCUUAGAGUUAUUUGUAGAUUUUAUUUUAUUCUUUUGUAAAUUAAACCAUUUCUACUGUCCCUUACUGCAAUGGAAAAAUUAAACUGUCGAAACCGCUAGGAGGGUUCACCACUGAUGAGCCAGGACCUCCCAUUAAUUUUUACAUUACAGUAAGGACAGUAGAAAUUGUUUAAUAUUUAAAAGAAUCAUACGCGUCUAUAAUAGUUUCGUGUUUUAACUACUUUAUUCACAAAAAUGAAAUUUAUACAUAAAAAUGAUUUUUUCCAACAAUGAAAUUCUAUUAGCAACAAUGUUUAUAAAAAUGCUACCCAAAAUGUCUGUUUUCCCAAGAACAUUGAAUGCCGGCCAGGCAACCUCUUAUCUUCAAUAAUGUGUAAUUUAUCAGAAACAAUGGAUUUUUAGCCACUACAAUACCAUUUUAUCCAUAACAAUGAAAAUUUAUUGUCGCAACAAUUACUUUUAAUUUAGUUAUUGUGUUAUUCUCCUGUCAACGGUCAAAUAUACACGAAAUCUUGAGUUCAUGGAAUAAAAACCGAUAAAAAAUGUAUCUAUGGAUGGAUAAUUGAUUUAUUUAAUUAAUAUUUAUGCAUAACAAAAAUGGUUUAUCCAGACAAGAAGUAUCUGUUGAAAAUAUUGAGAUCAAACAACUAUUUUUAAAAUAGUUACAAUUUCUAACACUAGAUGGCGGGCAGUGUCUGCUGUUUGUUAACAAUCGAUCCAAGUGUUAUAUUAAAAAAUAGGAAUAAAAUUAUAAUUUUCUAGAGUAAAUUAUUAUUUUAUUAUUUUUAAAAGGUGUAUAAAUCAGUAAAUUCAUAAAUAAAUGUAAAAAAGUUAGUUGCCUCAGUUGAAAUAUAAGUUCCGAGAUAAACUGGCGGCUGGGAGUCGUGGCGUGCUCCUGUAAUCCAGCUACUUGGAGGCCGGGGUUGGUGGACGGCUUGAGGCGAGGAGCCCUCCCUUCUGGUUCCCUAUGUUGACCGGAUGUCCGCACUAGGCCCAGCGUCAAUAUGGCGACCCCGGGGGAGCCCGGGGCCUCCAGGUCAGCUAAGGAGGAGUGGACCGGCCCAGGGCGGAAACGCAGCAGGCAAAAGCUCCCGCGCAGGGCGGUAGUGGGAUCGCGUCCGUGAAUAGUGUCCAAAUGGGAGCCUCGCCGAUAUAGUUGGACCCAACUCUUUUUUUUUUAAAUAUAUUUUUAUUUUAAUUCAUACUUUUAAAAUUAUUUACAGUAAAAAGAGCUUAUAUUGCGCGAUAGAUGUUAAAAGGUCAAGGGUUCGAACCCGCUUUUGGCAACUUUUUUUUUUUAACCAUUAAUUUUUAUUUAUUAUUUUUUUAAUACGAAAUAGAGAUUUUAAAAUAUAUUGCCACGUGGAAAAUUAGGAAAGACAAACCUCAGAAUUACACGGCAAUUUAUUUAAUGUAAAACCGAAUUGAAAUUAUUAAAAUAGCAGAGAGGUAAUGAGAAAAUUUUACAGUGUAUCAAAAUACAAACAUCGAAAUUAAAAAAUCUUUUCAUAGAAUAAUAAAUACUCUGCUAAAUAGCUUCUUCCCUAUGGGAGCUGUGACCUACAGCUUGUUGCUACUGACAUGGAUCUGACGUGUUUCUGCCAAGUAUUUCCUCGAAGUCUUGGACGUCUGUCCCUAGUACCUUUGCGUCCUGUUUCUUGCGGCGUGAAGAGUGGCUUUUUCGUCGUAUCGUCUAUAGGGACAUCGUCGUCUUGGCUUUGACACGGCAGUGGAAUACUGGAACCAGUCUUUGAAUAUGUAGAUCACAGCAUCCUACUCUCACGACAGGACACCAGCGCCGUGGUUGUAACACUAGAAACAAAUUACUGUAUUAUCAAAUUCUUGUUUAAAACAAAAAGCGCAACAUUUAAAAUGUCGGCGUGUUUAAUUCAUCAUAUGUAGCGGUAACACGUGGUUUCCCAAUAAAUGGAAAACCAACGUUCAAACAAUCUUGUGUACGUUCAUUAUCCGUAAGAGAUCCCCACUCUACCAUAUCUUCUUCUUUCUUAUCUCGACUCAAACAUAUCAGGGUAUCAAGCUUGUUGAUGGUGUCUGCUGGGGAUGAGUCUUCUUUCUUAUCUCUACUCAAUCAUAUCAGGGUAUCAAGCUUAUAGAGCUUGUUGAUGGUGUCUGCUGGGGAUGAGUCUUCUUUCUUAUCUCUACUCAAUCAUAUCAGGGUAUCAAGCUUAUAGAGCUUGUUGAUGGUGUCUGCUGGGGAUGAGUCUUCUUUCUUAUCUCUACUCAAUCAUAUCAGGGUAUCAAGCUUAUAGAGCUUGUUGAUGGUGUCUGCUGGGGAUGAAUCUUCUUUCUUAUCUCUACUCAAUCAUAUCAGGGUAUCAAGCUUAUAGAGCUUGUUGAUGGUGUCUGCUGGGGAUGAGUCUUCUUUCUUAUCUCUACUCAAUCAUAUCAGGGUAUCAAGCUUGUAGAGCUUGUUGACGGUGUCUGCUGGGGAUGAGUCUUCUUUCUUAUCUCUACUCAAUCAUAUCAGGGUAUCAAGCUUAUAGAGCUUGUUGAUGGUGUCUGCUGGGGAUGAGUCUUCUUUCUUAUCUCUACUCAAUCAUAUCAGGGUAUCAAGCUUAUAGAGCUUGUUGAUGGUGUCUGCUGGGGAUGAGUCUUCUUUCUUAUCUCUACUCAAUCAUAUCAGGGUAUCAAGCUUGUAGAGCUUGUUGACGGUGUCUGCUGGGGAUGAGUAGAGCUCAUCAAUGGAUGAUUCAAUACAGUCAAUAAUGUAGUUUUGGGGUUGCAGGUUGACACUUAGUACAUAGUGGGAAAACCUUGCAACCAGCCAUAUAAGACAAGGUAGUAAAGUUUGGCUGCAAGGACACCCUACUGCGGGUCACCUAAGAUUUUAUAAAACCUAUGAGAUACUCUUGGCCAGAACUUCUCGGGGGAAAGUGUUGUUGUUGCUUAUUCGUUUGGACGGUCUUUUCUAAGGAUAUGAUAGUUUCUGAGUUUAUGUGAAGUGCUUAGUUUAGUCUCUUGUAGGGCAAUGAUUUGAGCUUGAUGGUCUGCAGGAUUUCUUCUAGUUUGAUUUUAGUUCCUGUCUAUACGAAAGUAUGUAGCACAUUGUAAAGAAUACCAAACCGUAAACCUGGGUUGCUCAAAUCCCCCUGCAACCUUUUCAUUCCAAAGAAUUUGAAUAGAUCUUCUUGGGAGAUUCCCGAAAUCCUUUGAAGGUAAUAAAUGGAUCAUAGUUUGUACUGACGAUCUUACUCGAUUUGCCGUUACUAAAACCUUACCCACAGGGCAAGCAAAAGAAGCAGCCAAGUUCUUAAUGGAAGAUGUUGUUCUCAAGCACGGAGCCCCCAGAGAAAUCAUCACGGACCGAGGACGAGUAUUCCAUUCCAAGUUGAUUGCGGAACUCACCAAUCAAUGCUCGUCGGUUCACGACAGCGUAUCAUCCCCAGACGAAUGGACUGACGGAGAGGUUAAACAAAACCUUAGCCAACAUGAUCGCUAUGUAUGUAAGUGUUGAACAGAAGGACUGGGAAGUAAUCCUGCCCUACGUCACGUUCGCCUACAACACGGCAAAACAAGACACGACAGGCUUCACCCCAUUCGAACUAGUCCAUGGACGUGAGGCUGAAACAACUGUGGAUACUUUAUUUCCAAACCCGAUAGAAAAGCUUCAAGUGGAAUAUAGCCAAAGGAUUGCGUCGCGAGUCGAAGAGACUAGGCAGCUAGCAAGAUUAGAAACCUUGAAAGCCCAAGAAAAGGACAAGGCCAGAUAUGACUCAAAGCACGAGGCAAUGGAUUACAACGUCGGUGACCUGGUAUGGAUUUUCAUCCCAAUAAGAAAGGUGGGACUCUCAGAAAAACUGAUGAAAAGGUACUUCGGGCCAUACAGGGUUACUCGGAACCUAUCCGACGUGACCUUCGAAGUUGAACCUGUGGACCAAUAUGUAAAUGUAACGCCGUACCAGUACCUUCAGGCGGUGGAUAAAGUGGUCGGCGGGGCCAAGAACAUCGUACAGCUCACCAGGAUGAACGGCCUGACCACUAAUGUCCUAGCAGAGCGCCUCAUCGAUGGGGACCUUGAAGAUCGAGGGCACGACCCUCAGGACUUUCCUCUUCCGCAAGAGGGCGGAGAGGAUAAUAAUCGGCAACCUCCCGUUCUUCGUGGAGGAUGGGGUCAUCAUCGAAGCCCUGCGGCCGUGUGACAUCCAUCGCCUCCAGGCAGUUCAAGGUGGGGAGUACACCUAUGCAGACGGCCGUCGCGAGGCCUACAUCUUCGAGGACCGCUUUGCUCCAGGACCAUCAUGCAGAUGCAACUUGACUCUGCAUCCUCGAUCUACAAGCGCCUCGUUAUGGCUCGAGGUCUGCUGGGCGGGUAAGCUCCGCGUGGCCACCAUCAACGCGCAUGGGUUCGCCACUCGGGGGAGGAGCCUGGUACUUUGUCAUCUCCUCAGGCAACACCAAGUGGACAUUGCGUUUGUUUGUCCAGGAGACAAACAGUUCCUAUCUAGACCUCUGGCUCGGAUACAACGCUGUAGUCAUACCACCCAUAGCCAUCUCGGGUUCUGGACUCGCCUGUGUCUUCGGACCAGGCGUCACCGUUCUGCGACAGCGUGUCCUGUGGCCGGGCCACAUUGCCUUGGCCGUCAUCGAUGUUCACGACGAGGAGAUAACAUUCAUCAACGUCCAUUUCUCCAUAAUCCCCACGAGCGGCUGGAGCUGAUAGCGGCAGCUGCGAUCCAAGAGGAAGCCUGGGUUCUUGGGGCUUCAACAUCAGGGAGAACUCACCGGACUCCGUGGAUGCCCUCACCACUCUUCAGGACCUGGCUCCCCACCAGGGUCGCUAGCCACGGCGACCGUAUCGAGAGCAGCCGACUGGACCGAAUCCUCGUUCCUGCGGGAUCGUGUGAACACCUACACGAGUAGCUACUACCAUCUCUACGACCACCGUGCUGCUCUAGGUGGGCCCGCCCGCCAAGAAGGGCGAAACUCGACGCCAUCCUCGAGAAAGCUCCCUGUUUGACGAGACUGGCCAGCUUGGCCUCCAAAAGGAAGAGGUCCUACGUGCCCUCGUCUCCACUGCCAAGAUCAAGUCCCCGAUGACCAACCUCACAGCCGCCCAGAGGACCGCUUUGCUCUAGCUCUUCCGCACCAUCAUGCAAAGGCGACUUGACUCAGCCUCCUCCAUCUACAAGCGCCUCGUGGUGGCCCAAGG